CCUCUUGAGCUCUUGUGGUGACCUGGGAAUCAAUGUGUGAGGUGGUGCUAUGUAGCAGGAACCCCUCUUGCUUUGCAAAUAGUUUUUUGUUUGUUUUCCUUUUUGCCCAAUAGAGCCCUGCUCUACUGACCCUUCAAUGUGCCCGUGUGCCUAAAUAUUCCUGGUCGUGUGAAAAGAACCCAGGUAUUAGCUGAACUAAGGAGCACAAUUCUGCAACAUUUUGGCACCCAAACACGGGGCUUGAGAAAUGAAUGCAAUUGGAGAAACUGGUUGUUUUACCAGGCGUUGAUUGGAAAUGUGUGCUUCCCUUUAAGCAGUCAAGCUCAACUUGCAGAACUGAUGGGAACCCCUUGGGAAAACUGGCCUCAAAUGUUUGUCUACACAGUCCACAUACAGGGUUCUUAACCUGCGACUGACCCUGCUUGUGCCUGUGAACCAACCAACAAUCUCUGGCUGCAGCUCAGAAAGGACAAAAGAGAAUGGAUGAGGGAAACUUCCCAGGGCUUGUCUGGGUAUGCCCACAGUGGACUGGAGCCCAAAAUGCACACUGGAGGAAGUGGAUGGAGCCACGUGGAUGUCAUGCCUUAUGCAGGGGAGGAGCCUGCUCUCUUCAGCUCCUGUGGUAAUGUGGGAAUCGAUCUGUGAGAUUCCAUGAACUCCAAGUUAAGAACACAUGAUCUGGAUGUUUGACAAAAUACCUUCAGCAGGAAUAAUGAAAGCCCUGACAUUUCUGUGUGCAUAAAAACUGGAAAACUUUAAAAGUAAUAAAUCACCAAGUCUUUAUAAAAAUCGAUGAGUUAGGUGUGUAUUAGCUUAUAUCGCAGAUGAGGAAACUGUAACAUGGAAUGGAUAAAUAAUUUGCUAAAGUCACAUAGAUUGUGAGUAGGAAACUGGAAAUUGAACAACAGCUGUAUUGCUUCAUGGUCAGUGGUUAAUGCUUCAAUAACUACACUAAAAGGCUUAUUUAAAA
This 970-nucleotide long non-coding RNA is filed under the name Homo sapiens (human). RNAcentral's name for it is "p53 upregulated regulator of p53 levels". The record is from RNAcentral. Lineage: Eukaryota; Metazoa; Chordata; Mammalia; Primates; Hominidae.